This 497-nucleotide ribosomal RNA is filed under the name uncultured bacterium. Its description in RNAcentral is "partial 16S ribosomal RNA". It matches the Rfam family "Bacterial small subunit ribosomal RNA", at positions 28 to 507 of the family's 1533-position model. The record is from RNAcentral.
GACGAACGCUGGCGGCGUGCCUAAUACAUGCAAGUUGAGCGAUGAAGAUUGGUGCUUGCACCAAUUUGAAGAGCAGCGAACGGGUGAGUAACGCGUGGGGAAUCUGCCUUUGAGCGGGGGACAACAUUUGGAAACGAAUGCUAAUACCGCAUAACAACUUUAAACAUAAGUUUUAAGUUUGAAAGAUGCAAUUGCAUCACUCAAAGAUGACCCCGCGUUGUAUUAGCUAGUUGGUGAGGUAAAGGCUCACCAAGGCGAUGAUACAUAGCCGACCUGAGAGGGUGAUCGGCCACAGUGGGACUGAGACACGGCCCAAACUCCUACGGGAGGCAGCAGUAGGGAAUCUUCGGCAAUGGACGAAAGUCUGACCGAGAAACGCCGCGGGAGUGAAGAAGGUUUUCGGAUCGUAAAACUCUGUUGGUAGAGAAGAACGUUGGUGAGAGUGGAAAGCUCAUCAAGUGACGGUAACUACCCAGAAAGGGACGGCUAACUACGUG